Molecule: long non-coding RNA, 656 nt
Filed under: Cricetulus griseus (Chinese hamster)
Lineage: Eukaryota; Metazoa; Chordata; Mammalia; Rodentia; Cricetidae
Description: lncRNA (ENSCGRG00015031592.1)
Source: RNAcentral
CGAGACCGCUGUGAUGCGUGGCAGCAGCGGGGUGGUGCGGAUGGUGCGGGGCUGCGGCUCAGAGAGCUGGUUCUAUUCCAGGGUCACAGUACUCAUCACAGCAGUGAUCUAGGUGCAGCGAGGCGCGCGGGGACGGUCAUUCACGACAGAACGACAAGGGGACGAACACCUACAGCCCUAGGACCAGAUGACCCCACAAAGAACGCAGCUGGUGGCCACAGGUCCCGCCGACCCUCGAGGCCCCAAAACCUGCGACCUGUUUUAGGGACCGGUACCGGACCUAGAGAGCCAGCACCAGAGAGAGAGAGAAGGCCCAGACGUCAGGACUCGGCCGGUUUGAAUGCCUGAAUUUAAAAUUAGGCGGCUGAAAAUUGCCAGGGAAUAGAGACCCAGAAACGAAGGGAAAGGUUUUCGGUGACCUCGGGGACCCUGCUCAGAUGGAAGACUUGGGCCCAGAAGUGCCAAGGCCUGGAAAGCGGCAGAAUUUGGACCUUAUUUGGCAAACGGGGACAGAGACUCUUGCCGGGACGCCUUGGUCGUGCCAGGACCAAAUCCAGAAGACCUACUUAGGCGUGGCGGAUAAACAGUGCUCCGCCGAUUAAGCUGGGAGACAUUGACUUUAUUCGAACCACAUGGUUCCAGUUUUGUGGCAGCAU